CUUUUAUCCCUGGGAGUCUCUCAUCCAAGUAUCAAACUGCCCCAGACCUCCUUAUCUUUUAAAACCAGAUGAGCUCAGGAAGAGCUGGAGGAGUAAAAUUAUCCUCCAUUAAGAAUCAACCAGUGGCUCCUCCAACCGGAACCUACUGCUCUGACCCCCUCCCCUAAUACUACAGGAAUUCCACUGCAGCAUUGUAAGAACGCAGGGCCUGAGUCUGAUCUCACUUGGGCCGAUGUUCCACUGCGCCGGCUUAACUGAAUUCAGUGCAGUUACUCCUGAUUUACUCCACUGUAUCGGGCAUCAUGAUCAGAUCCCUGAAGCUAAUUACAGUAGAAGAACUUGCAAAAGUUAGGGUUGCAAGAAAGCAAUGCUGAGAAGCACCGAUCGCCCUGCGUGAAAGAGCCUGGCUCCGAGGAUAACCGUCUGAAGAGACCUGACUCGAGUGCACUGUCCCAGGAACUCAAACAAGAACUGCUCUUGCUCACUGUGAAUUGUAACAUCACAACAGCCCCAGAGCACCCAUGGAGUCAGCGCUUGUGCCCACCAGGGUUAGUCCCUAUACAGCCUAGCAGCUGCAGCACCUACACUGCUUGCCUCCAAGUCACAGCCCGCCUGGCAUGCUACUGGCACCCCGGGGCUUUUUCCCACAGGACAAGUGCCUCAUUCAGUACAUCCAAGGAUGGACACACAGGGGGCAGAAUUAAGUUGCUAGAGCAACCAAACCCUACCUGGCAUUUGCUAGUUUUCGAGUGCUUGACUUUGCAACUUUAAUGUAGCUUCUUGGGUGAGCUAUUUGAGAUUUAAAUUACGGUAGCACCCAGGGACCCCAACCAGGGCACAGGGAUGAUGCUAGAGGAGCUGCUAAGGAGGGCAAGGGCAGCUGCAGCAAUAGAAGAGCCCUUGGGUAGGGUCUGCCUCAUCCCACUGAAUUGACUUGGGGGUGGAGGCAGCAGCACUUCUUGCAUUGGGGGCGAGGCAGGGCAGGGGAGGCAUUAGUACAAUUUUGGGGCAGAAGAAGCAGGGACCACUCCUCUUUCUCUUCACCUCCCUCCACCCGAUACCCCUGGCAGGGACCCUCCCCCGAAAUCCCCAAGCCUCUGGGUUAGGACCUUCCUCCUUUCUGUCACUGACUGACUCAGGGCCUGCAGCAGGGCCAUUCUCUGGGCAACAUAAUAAGCACAUGAGCUGGCUUGUAGUCGGCUGCCUGAUUGGCUAACCCGCCCCACUGGAGGGAAGAGUCAGCAGACUGGCUAUUAUGCCCAGCAGCUUCUCCUUCCUUCAUUGUGUCACUCCAAUUAACCCGUCUUUGAUCCUGGGCUCCAGUUCCUGGUUACUGCUCUAAGUCUUGGUCCUGACUCCUGAUUUCACCAUUGGGCAUGACUCCUGCUGACCUAUUUGUUGACAGAGUGAGUAAACAUCCCUAACAAUAGGGUUCAUAGUUAAUAACCAUUCUAAUCAAUCACAGCACAACAUGCAACAAAAACCAGAUGUGCCACAUUUUGGUGGCUGGUCACAAGUGAUGUUGACUUGGAGUGACGCCUGGGCAGGCUUGGGGAUCGAGAGCUGUUCUCUCUGCCGGAGCUGCCAGCCGCCUCUCAGCCAAGCCAUUGCAAGCUGGCUAGUGUAUUUUAGGUGCUGUGGUAGCAAUGGGUCUGGAAGCAGAGAUGCUGCAGCCUCACAAAUCAGUUCAGGGAAGAGUCUGCCGUGCAUAAGGACCUGUGACAAGACAAGGAAUUCUCAUAUGCUGCAGUUAAUGCUCCAAACAAUAAGACCACUACAAACAUUUCAAACCUACAUGGGAACGCCUCCUUUAAUACCUUGCCAGCACCUAGACCUUCAUCACAUUCUUUGCAAUGUCUCUUAUUUAUCAGUGGCUUAACUCCAGCCAUUUCCACUUUCAAUUUCUCUAUAUCUAAUCUACGCAAGUCAAUCAAAGCACACAGUGAUUUCAAUGUCAAGAUGUCUGGAGAGCUGUUGGAAUAGAUUGCUGGCAAGCUUUUGUAAAACUUGGAGUUCCUCUCAGAUAAUCUCCUUUGCAAUUCACCAUUGGUUUCAUCAGUCAGUUCAUGAUGAAUCUAUCGUGACCAGACAGCAAAUGUGAAAAAUCAGGAUGGUGAUUGGGUGUAAUAGGAGCCUCUA
Molecule: non-coding RNA, 2139 nt
Organism: Chelonoidis abingdonii (Abingdon island giant tortoise)
Lineage: Eukaryota; Metazoa; Chordata; Testudines; Testudinidae
Source: RefSeq, a predicted model, not a curated record